GUCGAGCGGAACGAUCCUAGCUUGCUAGGAGGCGUCGAGCGGCGGACGGGUGAGUAAUGCAUAGGAAUCUGCCCGGUAGUGGGGGAUAACCUGGGGAAACCCAGGCUAAUACCGCAUACGCCCUACGGGGGAAAGCAGGGGAUCUUCGGACCUUGCGCUAUCGGAUGAGCCUAUGUCGGAUUAGCUAGUUGGUGAGGUAACGGCUCACCAAGGCUGCGAUCCGUAGCUGGUCUGAGAGGAUGAUCAGCCACAUCGGGACUGAGACACGGCCCGAACUCCUACGGGAGGCAGCAGUGGGGAAUAUUGGACAAUGGGCGAAAGCCUGAUCCAGCCAUGCCGCGUGUGUGAAGAAGGCCUUCGGGUUGUAAAGCACUUUCAGUGAGGAAGAAAGCCUUGAGGUUAAUACCCUCGAGGGAGGACAUCACUCACAGAAGAAGCACCGGCUAACUCCGUGCCAGCAGCCGCGGUAAUACGGAGGGUGCGAGCGUUAAUCGGAAUUACUGGGCGUAAAGCGCGCGUAGGCGGCUUGAUAAGCCGGUUGUGAAAGCCCCGGGCUCAACCUGGGAACGGCAUCCGGAACUGUCAGGCUAGAGUGCAGGAGAGGAAGGUAGAAUUCCCGGUGUAGCGGUGAAAUGCGUAGAGAUCGGGAGGAAUACCAGUGGCGAACGCGGCCUUCUGGACUGACACUGACGCUCAGGUGCGAAAGCGUGGGUAGCAAACAGGAUUAGAUACCCUGGUAGUCCACGCCGUAUACGAUGUCGACUAGCCGUUGGGCUCCUUGAGAGCUUUGUGGCGCAGUUAACGCGAUAAGUCGACCGCCUGGGGAGUACGGCCGCAAGGUUAAGACUCAUAUGAAUUGACGGGGGCCCGCACAAGCGGUGGAGCAUGUGGUUUAAUUCGAUGCAACGCGUAGAACCUUACCUA
Molecule: ribosomal RNA, 924 nt
Filed under: uncultured bacterium
Lineage: Bacteria
Description: bacterial SSU rRNA
Rfam family: Bacterial small subunit ribosomal RNA
Source: RNAcentral